AGAACAUCCUUGGAUAAGGAUUUUAUUAGCUAUUUCAUUAAUUUCUACUUUAGUGUAUGAAUUACUUUGUGGUACUUAUUUUAAAAAAAUAUUAUUAAAAAACUAUUUUAUGGUUCAA
Neofelis nebulosa (Clouded leopard) is the source of this 118-nucleotide long non-coding RNA. RefSeq lists it as uncharacterized. Lineage: Eukaryota; Metazoa; Chordata; Mammalia; Carnivora; Felidae. The transcript is spliced from 2 exons. The record is from RefSeq and is a predicted model, not a curated record.